RNAcentral lists this ribosomal RNA (544 nucleotides) under uncultured bacterium. RNAcentral's name for it is "bacterial SSU rRNA". It matches the Rfam family "Bacterial small subunit ribosomal RNA", at positions 774 to 1319 of the family's 1533-position model. The record is from RNAcentral.
ACGUAAUAGAUACCCUGGUAGUCCACGCCCUAAACGAUGUCUACUAGUUGUCGGGUCUUAAUUGACUUGGUAAACGCAGCUAAACGCGUGAAGUAGACCGCCUGGGGAGUACGGUCGCAAGAUUAAAACUCAAAGGAAUUGACGGGGACCCGCACAAGCGGUGGAUGAUGUGGAUUAAUUCGAUGCAACGCGAAAAACCUUACCUACCCUUGACAUGGAAGGAAUCCCCGAGAGAUUGGGGAGUGCUCGAAAGAGAACCUUUACACAGGUGCUGCAUGGCUGUCGUCAGCUCGUGUCGUGAGAUGUUGGGUUAAGUCCCGCAACGAGCGCAACCCUUGUCAUUAGUUGCUACGAAAGGGCACUCUAAUGAGACUGCCGGUGACAAACCGGAGGAAGGUGGGGAUGACGUCAAGUCCUCAUGGCCCUUAUGGGUAGGGCUUCACACGUCAUACAAUGGUACAUACAGAGGGCCGCCAACCCGCGAGGGGGUAGCUAAUCCCAGAAAGUGUAUCGUAGUCCGGAUUGUAGUCUGCAACUCGACUGC